UUAUGAUAGGUACAGAAUUCUGUCAACAUAACUUUAUUCUUUCCUUCGUUAUUCUCCUUAACCAGAGCUUUAUUAUUUUGGUGAACUUCUGAUUGCUGGUUUAGGGUUGUAUUCUUCUUCUUUUUUAGUGAAGAUGACCCCGCAUUUCCUCUCAUCGACAUUCUUUUAAGCUCUUGAGCAAUUAUGUGUGCUUCAUAGAAACUUGCGUCGUAUUCGGCUUUUGUUGACUUUGAUUGCUCCGAGCCUUGCUUCUUAUCAUCUUCCUUUAAAUCAGCUUGCAUAGUUAUGACUCGACAGGUCUUGACCCG
Molecule: long non-coding RNA, 308 nt
Filed under: Ananas comosus (pineapple)
Lineage: Eukaryota; Viridiplantae; Streptophyta; Magnoliopsida; Poales; Bromeliaceae
Description: long non-coding RNA (ACOM_LNC037704)
Source: RNAcentral